GACGAACGCUGGCGGCGUGGAUUAGGCAUGCAAGUCGAACGGUAGGGUUCCUUCGGGGACCUGAGAGUGGCGAACGGGUGAGUAACACGUAGGUAAUCUACCCUCAAAUCGGGGACAACCCAGGGAAACUUGGGCUAAUACCGGAUGAGUGCGCUUUCGGGUGCAUAAAAGGUGGCGUAAGCUGCUGUUUGGGGAUGAGCCUGCGCUCUAUUAGUUAGUUGGUGAGGUAACGGCUUACCAAGGCGAUGAUAGAUAGGCGGCCUUAACGGGUGGUCGCCCACACUGGGAUUGAGAUACGGCCCAGACUCCUACGGGAGGCAGCAGUCGAGAAUAGUCUACAAUGGACGAAAGUCUGAUAGUGCGACGCCGCGUGAACGAAGAAGCCCUUCGGGGUGUAAAGUUCUUUAUAUGUGAGCAAUGCUUCCUAGGUGAAUAGUUUAGGGAGAGAGAUAUUAGCAUAUGAAUAAGCAACGGCUAACUCCGUG
Molecule: ribosomal RNA, 485 nt
Filed under: uncultured bacterium
Lineage: Bacteria
Description: bacterial SSU rRNA
Rfam family: Bacterial small subunit ribosomal RNA
Source: RNAcentral